UACGUAGGGUGCAAGCGUUGUCCGGAAUUAUUGGGCGUAAAGAGCUCGUAGGCGGUUUGUUGCGUCGGCUGUGAAAUCCCGAGGCUCAACCUCGGGUCUGCAGUCGAUACGAGCAAACUAGAGUGUUGCAGGGGAGACUGGAAUUCCUGGUGUAGCGGUGAAAUGCGCAGAUAUCAGGAGGAACACCGGUGGCGAAGGCGGGUCUCUGGGCAACAACUGACGCUGGAGGAGCG
Molecule: ribosomal RNA, 233 nt
Filed under: uncultured bacterium
Lineage: Bacteria
Description: partial 16S ribosomal RNA
Rfam family: Bacterial small subunit ribosomal RNA
Source: RNAcentral